AAUGAAUUGCCUGAUAAAAGGAUUACCUUGAUAGGGUAAAUUAUAAAAAUUUAUAUUUUUAUUCAUUA
This 68-nucleotide transfer RNA is filed under the name Toxorhynchites sp. CL-2019. RNAcentral's name for it is "tRNA-Ile". The record is from RNAcentral. Lineage: Eukaryota; Metazoa; Arthropoda; Insecta; Diptera; Culicidae.